GAGUUUGAUCUUGGCUCAGAACGAACGCUGGCGGCAUGCCUAACACAUGCAAGUCGAACGAGACCUUCGGGUCUAGUGGCGCACGGGUGCGUAACGCGUGGGAAUCUGCCCUUGGGUUCGGGAUAACAGUUGGAAACGACUGCUAAUACCGGAUGAUGUCUUCGGACCAAAGAUUUAUCGCCCAGGGAUGAGCCCGCGUCGGAUUAGCUUGUUGGUGAGGUAAAGCUCACCAAGGCGACGAUCCGUAGCUGGUCUGAGAGGAUGAUCAGCCACACUGGGACUGAGACACGGCCCAGACUCCUACGGGAGGCAGCAGUGGGGAAUAUUGGACAAUGGGCGAAAGCCUGAUCCAGCAAUGCCGCGUGAGUGAUGAAGGCCUUAGGAUUGUAAAGCUCUUUUACCCGGGAUGAUAAUGACAGUACCGGGAGAAUAAGCCCGGCUAACUCCGUGCCAGCAGCCGCCGUAAC
This 467-nucleotide ribosomal RNA is filed under the name uncultured Alphaproteobacteria bacterium. RNAcentral's name for it is "bacterial SSU rRNA". It matches the Rfam family "Bacterial small subunit ribosomal RNA", at positions 9 to 524 of the family's 1533-position model. The record is from RNAcentral. Lineage: Bacteria; Pseudomonadati; Pseudomonadota; Alphaproteobacteria.